Molecule: ribosomal RNA, 2035 nt
Filed under: human gut metagenome
Description: bacterial LSU rRNA
Rfam family: Bacterial large subunit ribosomal RNA
Source: RNAcentral
GCAAGAUACCACGGGCGCACGGCGGAUGCCUUGGCACAGGGAGCCGAUGAAGGACGCGGCAAGCUGCGAUAAUCCCCGGCGAGGAGCACACAUCCUUCGACCCGGGGGUCUCCGAAUGGGCGAACCCAUGCACAGCAGUGUGCAUAUCCCCGGCCUGAACACAUAGGGCCGGGGAGGACAACCCGGGGAACUGAAACAUCUAAGUACCCGGAGGAGAGGAAAUCAAUCUCGAGACUCCCCGAGUAGCGGCGAGCGAAAGGGGACCGAUGGCCAAACCGUCGAGCGGGCAUACCCGGCAGGGGUUCCGCCGACGGGGUUGCAGGGCCGCGCAUCCGGGGGCUGCCGCCCCCGGGCGCAGGUCCGGCUGGGGAGCGGAACGGCAUGGGAGGGCCGGCCGCAGCGGGUGACAGCCCCGUACGCGAACCCAGACCGGACGGCGCGACGCGGUCCCUGAGUAGGGCCGGGCACGUGAAACCCGGUCCGAACCUGGGUGGACCACCAUCCAAGCCUGAGUACUACCCUGUGACCGAUAGCGCACCAGUACCGUGAGGGAAAGGUGAAAAGCACCCCGGGAGGGGAGUGAAACAGUACCUGAAACCGUGCGCCCACGAGCAGUCGGAGCACCUUUAUGGUGUGACGGCGUGCCUUUUGUAGAAUGAGCCAGCGAGUCGCUGGCGCGGGGCGAGGUUAACCGAAAGGGAGCCGGAGCGAAAGCGAGCCUUAACAGGGCGACUUGAGUCCCGCGCCGCGGACGCGAAGCCGGGUGAGCUAUCCGUGGGCAGGCUGAAGCGGGGGUAAGACCCCGUGGAGGGCCGAACGCACGUCGGUUGAAAACGGCGGCGAUGACCUGCGGAUAGGGGUGAAAGGCCAAUCAAACCCGGAGAUAUCUCGUUCUCCCCGAAAUAGCUUUAGGGCUAGCGUCGCGCGUUCACCGCCGGAGGUAGAGCACCGGAUGGACGAGGGGGCUUCGCCGCCUACCGAAUCCAACCGAACUCCGAAUGCCGGCGGCCCAGAGCGCGGCAGUCAGAGCAUGUGGGCUAAGCUGUGUGCUCGAGAGGGAAACAGCCCGGACCGCCCGCUAAGGUCCCCAAGUUCCAGCCGAGUGGCAAAGGAUGUGCGUCCGCCCAGACAACCAGGAUGUUGGCUUAGAAGCAGCCAUCCAUUCAAAGAGUGCGUAACAGCUCACUGGUCGAGUGGACAUGCGCCGACAAUACACGGGGCUAAGCUGGACACCGAAGCGGCGGGAUUUUGAUUUUCAGAAUCGGUAGGGGAGCUUCCCAUGGGCGGAGAAGCCGGAGGGCGACCGACGGUGGAGCGCAUGGGAGUGAGAAUGCUGGCAUGAGUAGCGAGAGACGAGAGAGUAACUCGUCCGCCGUGAACCCGAGGUUUCCUGGGCAAGGCUAAUCCUCCCAGGGUCAGUCGGGGGCUAAGGCGAGGCCGGGAGGCGUAGCCGACGCGCAGCAGGCAGACAUUCCUGCACCGCGCACGCGGCGCUACGACCGACGGGGCGACGGAUGGGGGUGGCUCGGCGGGGUUCUGGACGUCCCCGUGAUGGAGCGCGGCCCGCGGACCAGGGAAAUCCGGUCCGCACGAGGGCGAGGCUCCGGACGAAGCGAUUGAGCGAAGCGAGUGAGCCCGAGGUCCCUAGAAAAACCCCUAGGCAGGCGCGUGCGCGCCCGUACCGCAAACCGACACAGGUGGGUGGGUAGAACAUACCGAGGCGAUCGGGUCAACCAUGGUCAAGGAACUCGGCACAAUGGCCCCGUAACUUCGGGAGAAGGGGUGCCCGCGCGUACGUGAACCGGCUUGCCCGGGGAGCGGAGGCGGGCCGCAGUGGAGAGGCCCAAGCGACUGUUUACCAAAAACACAGGACUCUGCAGAAGCCGCAAGGCGACGUAUAGGGUCUGACGCCUGCCCGGUGCCGGAAGGUCACGCGGAGGAGUUAGCCGCAAGGCGAAGCCCCGAAGCCAAGCCCCGGUAAACGGCGGCCGUAACUAUAACGGUCCUAAGGUAGCGAAAUUCCUUGUCAGGUAAG